This 370-nucleotide ribosomal RNA is filed under the name uncultured organism. Its description in RNAcentral is "bacterial SSU rRNA". It matches the Rfam family "Bacterial small subunit ribosomal RNA", at positions 526 to 896 of the family's 1533-position model. The record is from RNAcentral.
CGGAGGGUGCAAGCGUUGUCCGGAUUCAUUGGGUUUAAAGGGUGCGUAGGCGGUCCUUUAAGUCAGCGGUGAAAUCCCACGGCUCAACCGUGGAACUGCCGUUGAUACUGAGGGACUUGAGUUCGUCCGAGGUCGCUGGAAUGCGUGGUGUAGCGGUGAAAUGCAUAGAUAUCACGCAGAACACCGAUUGCGAAGGCAGGUGACUGGGACGCGACUGACGCUGAGGCACGAAAGUGUGGGGAGCAAACAGGAUUAGAUACCCUGGUAGUCCACACCGUAAACGAUGGAUACUAGGUGUCCGGCCUUUCGGGGCUGGGUGCCCAAGGGAAACCGAUAAGUAUCCCACCUGGGGAGUACGUCCGCAAGGAUG